Non-coding RNA from Paramuricea clavata, 456 nucleotides. NCBI's taxonomy places the organism in Eukaryota, Metazoa, Cnidaria, Anthozoa, Malacalcyonacea, Plexauridae. The record is from the annotation of a GenBank genome assembly.
UUCGGAUAUAACCAAAGUUGUGCAAAGUCCUUUGAUUAGACCAGGUUAGGCACAAAGGUCAGUCUUAAAACGCGUGAUCACUCACGUGCAAAGCACUCGGUAAAUAACAAUGAACCACUGUCAAACACUUCUUCCCAUGCAUGCGGGAAAAUAGACCAAUCAGGUCCUACUGUUUUGUUUGCUUAUGCUUCCUGCCUGGGCUACAGGCUUCAUUGUGUCGCCGGUGAGCCAAAGUGAAGGACACUUCACAGCGAAAAAAUUGCUUAAAUUCCACCCACCCCACCCGUCAAUGAUGUUGCACCACUUUAUCAUAGCUUAGUAAAAAAACAAACAAAAAAACAAACAAACUGUAUUAUAGCCUGUUGUUAUAUUGCAUGGGUCAUUAUCAAGACAGACUAGCAUGGACUGCAAUGCUCGCAGCGUUUACUGAACAGUAGAAUAGUUACUACUUGUAAA